GUUCUUCAGGCCUGUCUCAGAGCUAUCAAGGAUGCAGCAAAAGGGAUGCCUUUGAUCUGCUGUCUCUGGAUGCACAAGGAGCUCAGAGAAACAACCAGGACACAGAACAAAACAAAGCAUGGAGCUCUAAUUUAGGGGUUUCAGCUAAGCGAGUCACUCAGCACCAGCACUGCACAGGAGGUAGUUCUUACAGCUUCCUUUAUGAGAAAGAUUUGUUCUUCUGUUUAUAGCGCACGCUCUGAUGUGGACUUCCAGCUCAGAACCCAGGUUCUCGAACUCAUGAACGCAUUCAGCAUCCCUUGCUAUCACAACCAGCUUGACAGAAAGACCACAGGCCAAGUGCAGCAGAGUUCCGGAAAGUGAAUGCAGCAAAAUACCCUUGCUCUCUUUGAGGGUAUCAGAGCCAGGAGGGUGGCUGACUCUGAUGAUAGAACAAGAGCCAGAUAUGCUCCUGCUGCUCCAGUAGAGUGGUCUUCAGGUGAUCGAGAUUCCGAGCUCCCAAACCAAGGCAAGAAUAAGGAAACUGGAACAGGAGGGCAUGGUGGGCUCCAGCCUCCCGUGACAGUGAAACAUUGCCUUAGAAUGACUGUUGUUAAUACAAUUGAGGAAAUAGAACACGUAAUCUUGUGAUUAAGUUAUACACAAUUUGAUUUAAAUUUAGUUCCUGGCAGUUGCUAGGUUUCACUCUGGCAUACUCUCUCAGUGUGGAAGCUGCUGAUUCAGAAAGAGAUGUUCCAAAGCUCAUGUAUUUCCUGGACACAUCCAAGUACUGAAUAAAAUGCUGGUUAAAUAAAUGAGUUAAUUUUCCAAGAAAGACA
Molecule: non-coding RNA, 818 nt
Filed under: Pan troglodytes (chimpanzee)
Lineage: Eukaryota; Metazoa; Chordata; Mammalia; Primates; Hominidae
Source: RNAcentral